RNAcentral lists this ribosomal RNA (575 nucleotides) under Kluyveromyces lactis. Its description in RNAcentral is "LSU rRNA". It matches the Rfam family "Eukaryotic large subunit ribosomal RNA", at positions 35 to 651 of the family's 3401-position model. Lineage: Eukaryota; Fungi; Ascomycota; Saccharomycetes; Saccharomycetales; Saccharomycetaceae. The record is from RNAcentral.
UAAGCAUAUCAAUAAGCGGAGGAAAAGAAACCAACCGGGAUUGCCUUAGUAACGGCGAGUCAAGCGGCAAAAGCUCAAAUUUGAAAUCUGGCGUCUUCGACGUCCGAGUUGUAAUUUGAAGAAGGUAACUUUGUAGCUGGUCCUUGUCUAUGUUCCUUGGAACAGGACGUCAUAGAGGGUGAGAAUCCCGUGUGGCGAGGAUCCCAGUUAUUUGUAAAGUGCUUUCGACGAGUCGAGUUGUUUGGGAAUGCAGCUCUAAGUGGGUGGUAAAUUCCAUCUAAAGCUAAAUAUUGGCGAGAGACCGAUAGCGAACAAGUACAGUGAUGGAAAGAUGAAAAGAACUUUGAAAAGAGAGUGAAAAAGUACGUGAAAUUGUUGAAAGGGAAGGGCAUUUGAUCAGACAUGGCGUUUGCUUCGGCUUUCGCUGGGCCAGCAUCAGUUUUAGCGGUUGGAUAAAUCCUCGGGAAUGUGGCUCUGCUUCGGUAGAGUGUUAUAGCCCGUGGGAAUACAGCCAGCUGGGACUGAGGAUUGCGACUUUUGUCAAGGAUGCUGGCGUAAUGGUUAAAUGCCGCCCG